This 490-nucleotide ribosomal RNA is filed under the name uncultured bacterium. RNAcentral's name for it is "partial 16S ribosomal RNA". It matches the Rfam family "Bacterial small subunit ribosomal RNA", at positions 28 to 507 of the family's 1533-position model. The record is from RNAcentral.
GAUGAACGCUAGCUACAGGCUUAACACAUGCAAGUCGCGGGGCAGCAUGGGGGUUGCUUGCAAUCCCCGAUGGCGACCGGCGCACGGGUGAGUAACGCGUAUCCAACCUGCCCUUCACCACGGGAUAACCCGGCGAAAGUCGGACUAAUACCGCAUGUUGUCCAUUGACGGCAUCCGAUUUGGACGAAAGGUUUGGCGGUGAAGGAUGGGGAUGCGUCCGAUUAGCUGGUCGGCGGGGUGACGGCCCACCGUGGCGACGAUCGGUAGGGGUUCUGAGAGGAAGGUCCCCCACACUGGAACUGAGACACGGUCCAGACUCCUACGGGAGGCAGCAGUGAGGAAUAUUGGUCAAUGGGCGUAAGCCUGAACCAGCCAAGUAGCGUGCAGGAUGACGGCCCUAUGGGUUGUAAACUGCUUUUAUGCGGGGAUAAAGUGGCCCACGUGUGGGUUUUUGCAGGUACCGCAUGAAUAAGGACCGGCUAAUUCCGUG